This 75-nucleotide transfer RNA is filed under the name Candidatus Aenigmatarchaeota archaeon. Its description in RNAcentral is "tRNA-Glu". It matches the Rfam family "tRNA". From Rfam's summary of the family: Transfer RNA (tRNA) molecules are approximately 80 nucleotides in length. Their secondary structure includes four short double-helical elements and three loops (D, anti-codon, and T loops). The record is from RNAcentral. Lineage: Archaea; Nanobdellati; Candidatus Aenigmatarchaeota.
GCUCCCAUAGUCUAGCCCGGUCAAGGAUAUCGCCCUCUCACGGCGAGGACGCGGGUUCGAAUCCCGCUGGGAGCA